UGGGGAAUUUUGGACAAUGGGCGCAAGCCUGAUCCAGCCAUGCCGCGUGCGGGAAGAAGGCCUUCGGGUUGUAAACCGCUUUUGUCAGGGAAGAAACGCUCUGGGCUAAUACCCUGGGGUAAUGACGGUACCUGAAGAAUAAGCACCGGCUAACCACGUGCCAGCAGCCGCGGUAAUACGUAGGGUGCAAGCGUUAAUCGGAAUUACUGGGCGUAAAGCGUGCGCAGGCGGUUAUGCAAGACAGAUGUGAAAUCCCCGGGCUCAACCUGGGAACUGCAUUUGUGACUGUAUAGCUAGAGUACGGUAGAGGGGGAUGGAAUUCCGCGUGUAGCAGUGAAAUGCGUAGAUAUGCGGAGGAACACCGAUGGCGAAGGCAAUCCCCUGGACCCUGUACUGACGCUCAUGCACGAAAGCGUGGGGAGCAAACAGGAUUAGAUACCCAUGUAGUCCCUG
RNAcentral lists this ribosomal RNA (453 nucleotides) under uncultured bacterium. RNAcentral's name for it is "bacterial SSU rRNA". It matches the Rfam family "Bacterial small subunit ribosomal RNA", at positions 355 to 799 of the family's 1533-position model. The record is from RNAcentral.